RNAcentral lists this unclassified non-coding RNA (364 nucleotides) under uncultured bacterium. RNAcentral describes it as "contains 16S-23S intergenic spacer region". The record is from RNAcentral.
UCCCCGUUGGCCGGGGCAGUCCCGUGUGAAAAAUUCAACACACGGCAAGGGUUGCGCUCGUUGCCGGACUUAACCGAACAUCUCACGACACGAGCUGACGACGGCCAUGCAGCACCUGUCACCAGGUUCCCGAAGGCACAGCCCUAUUUCUAGGGCCUUCCUGGGAUGUCAAGCCUCGGUAAGGUUCUUCGCGUAGCUUCGAAUUAAACCACAUGCUCCACUGCUUGUGCGAGACCCCGUCUAUUCCUUUGAGUUUUAGCCUUGCGGCCGUACUCCCCAGGCGGGAUGCUUAACGCGUUAGCUUCUCAGCCGAAAGGGUCGAUACUUCCAACUAAUAGCAUCCAUCGUUUACGGCGUGGACUAC